AUUCUUGAUAUGUUCUAAUACUUGGAUUAUUUAUCAGUAUUCGAUGUAUAACCCGAGGUGGUUAGCAGUGGUCCUUGAAGGUGGUUGGAGGCGGUUGUUCGUGAUCGAGGUAGACGACGAGAAGGACGAGUAUUUGUGCAUGUAUUCGAGGUAUGACCCGAGGUGGUUGGAGGUGGUCGGAAGUGUUUAAGGGAGGUUGCGGGGGAUCGAGGUGGAUGAGGAGAAGGACGAAAAGGAGGAGGAGGAGAUAGAUGAGGAGAAAAAAGUGGACGAGGAGGACGAGGAUAACGAGGAUUUCUGCACUUGAUCGAGGUAUAACCCGAGGUGGUUAGCCGUGGUCGUUAGAGGUGGUUGGCAGCGGUUGGAGGUGAUCGGAGGUGGACGAGGAGGAGGACGAGGAAGACGAGGAUUUGUGCUCGGUAUAACCCGAGGUAGUUCGCGGUGGUUGCGGGUGAUCGAGGUGGGCGAGGAGGAGG
RNAcentral lists this long non-coding RNA (476 nucleotides) under Neodiprion pinetum (white pine sawfly). RNAcentral's name for it is "uncharacterized LOC124211737". The record is from RNAcentral. Lineage: Eukaryota; Metazoa; Arthropoda; Insecta; Hymenoptera; Diprionidae.